UAACUGAAGAGUUUGAUCAUGGCUCAGAUUGAACGCUGGCGGCAGGCUUAACACAUGCAAGUCGAGCGGG
Molecule: ribosomal RNA, 70 nt
Filed under: Acinetobacter baumannii
Lineage: Bacteria; Pseudomonadati; Pseudomonadota; Gammaproteobacteria; Moraxellales; Moraxellaceae
Also listed under: 3 other names
Description: partial 16S ribosomal RNA
Rfam family: Bacterial small subunit ribosomal RNA
Source: RNAcentral